This 543-nucleotide ribosomal RNA is filed under the name uncultured bacterium. RNAcentral's name for it is "partial 16S ribosomal RNA". It matches the Rfam family "Bacterial small subunit ribosomal RNA", at positions 355 to 889 of the family's 1533-position model. The record is from RNAcentral.
UGGGGAAUUUUGGACAAUGGGGGCAACCCUGAUCCAGCCAUCCCGCGUGUGCGAUGAAGGCCUUCGGGUUGUAAAGCACUUUUGGCAGGGAAGAAACAGCCUGGAUAAUACCCCGGGCGACUGACGGUACCUGCAGAAUAAGCACCGGCUAACUACGUGCCAGCAGCCGCGGUAAUACGUAGGGUGCAAGCGUUAAUCGGAAUUACUGGGCGUAAAGCGUGCGCAGGCGGUUCGGAAAGAAAGGUGUGAAAUCCCAGGGCUUAACCUUGGAACUGCACUUUUAACUACCGAGCUAGAGUACGUCAGAGGGGGGUAGAAUUCCACGUGUAGCAGUGAAAUGCGUAGAGAUGUGGAGGAAAUACCGAUGGCGAAGGCAGCCCCCUGGGAUGAUACUGACGCUCAUGCACGAAAAGCGUGGGGAGCAAAACAGGAUUAGAUACCCUGGUAGUCCACGCCUAAAACGAUGUCAACUAGCUGUUGGGGUUUAUUAACCUUAGUAGCGCAGCUAACGCGUGAAGUUGACCGCCUGGGGAGUACGGUCGC